This 521-nucleotide ribosomal RNA is filed under the name Rhodococcus sp. AP8aHx. RNAcentral describes it as "bacterial SSU rRNA". It matches the Rfam family "Bacterial small subunit ribosomal RNA", at positions 338 to 863 of the family's 1533-position model. Lineage: Bacteria; Bacillati; Actinomycetota; Actinomycetes; Mycobacteriales; Nocardiaceae. The record is from RNAcentral.
CCUACGGGAGGCAGCAGUGCGGAAUAUUACACAAUGGCGCGAAAGCCUGAUGCAGCGACGCCGCGUGAGGGAUGAAGAUCCUUCGCGUUGUAAACCUCUUUCAGCAGGGACGAAGCGCAAGUGACGGUACCUGCAGAAUAAGCUCCGGCUAACUACGUGCCAGCAGCCGCGGUAAUACGUAGGGUGCGAGCGUUGUCCGGAAUUACUGGGCGUAAAGAGUUCGUAGGCGGUUUGUCGCGUCGUUUGUGAAAAUCCCGGGCUCAACUUCGGGCUUGCAGCCGAUACGGGCAGACUUGAAUGUUUCAAGGGAGGCUGGAAUUCCUGGUGUAACGGUGAAAAGCGCAAAUAUCAGGAGGAACCCCCGUGGCGAAAGCCGGUCUCUGGGAAACUUCUGACCCUUAAGAACGAAAAGCCUUGGUAGCCAACCAGAUUAGAUUCCCUNGUUGUUCCCCCCCGUUAACGGUGGGCUACUAAGUGUGGGUUCCUUCCACGGAAUUCUGUGCCGUAGGCUAACGCAUUAA